UUGAGCACUGAUUUUUCAACGCGCAUUGCGGCCUCGGGUCCUGCCCGGGGCCUCGCCUGUCUGAGGGUC
This 69-nucleotide ribosomal RNA is filed under the name Anelosimus baeza. RNAcentral describes it as "partial 5.8S ribosomal RNA". Lineage: Eukaryota; Metazoa; Arthropoda; Arachnida; Araneae; Theridiidae. The record is from RNAcentral.